AUUGAACGCUGGCGGCAGGCCUAACACAUGCAAGUCGAACGGUAACAGGAAGACGCUUGCUUCUUUGCUGACGAGUGGCGGACGGGUGAGUCAUGUCUGGGAAACUGCCUGAUGGAGGGGGAUAACUACUGGAAACGGUAGCUAAUACCGCAUAACGUCGCAAGACCAAAGAGGGGGACCUUCGGGCCUUUUGCCAUCGGAUGUGCCCAGAUGGGAUUAGCUAGUAGGUGGGGUAACGGCUCACCUAGGCGACGAUCCCUAGCUGGUCUGAGAGGAUGACCAGCCACACUGGAACUGAGACACGGUCCAGACUCCUACGGGAGGCAGCAGUGGGGAAUAUUGCACAAUGGGCGAAAGCCUGAUGCAGCCAUGCCGCGUGUAUGAAGAAGGCCUUCGGGUUGUAAAGUACUUUCAGCGGGGAGGAAGGGAGUAAAGUUAAUACCUUUGCUCAUUGACGUUACCCGCAGAAGAAGCACCGGCUAACUCCGUG
RNAcentral lists this ribosomal RNA (490 nucleotides) under uncultured bacterium. RNAcentral describes it as "partial 16S ribosomal RNA". It matches the Rfam family "Bacterial small subunit ribosomal RNA", at positions 30 to 507 of the family's 1533-position model. The record is from RNAcentral.